This is a long non-coding RNA of Trichosurus vulpecula (common brushtail), 2158 nucleotides long. RefSeq lists it as uncharacterized. NCBI's taxonomy places the organism in Eukaryota, Metazoa, Chordata, Mammalia, Diprotodontia, Phalangeridae. The transcript has 3 exons. The record is from RefSeq and is a predicted model, not a curated record.
UCUUGGCAGGUCAGCAUGAUCCUGGCUAGGAGAGCACUAGGAAGUGAGGAGAUAAAAUCAGAAUUUUAACAUGGUUUUGGACAUGGCCCACCACACAUGAACUCGGAGGCCAGAAUGAUGAGUUUCUGGAGAUCAUGUCAUCCAGGAGGUAACUCAGAUGACAUUGUGCUGAAUGCAUCAAGCCCUGGAACACUGAAAGGAACCUCCUGAAUGACAGUCAGGCUCAUUCUAAAGAGUUUGACCUAGGUAUCCACACAGGAAAACCCUAUUGCCCAGAUUAUGGCACCCAUUUCAAUGAACAACCUAUAGAACUUUUCCAUCAGUAUUUCAAUCUUGGGAAGAUACUACAGAUGGACAAAAAGUUGGACUUCUAGCUGAGCAAGAGGAGAAAAGGAGCAGGACUGUCUUUGGAAAAUUUCACAGUUAUUUUAAUGACCAUGAACAUUUCCCUGAAGCAAAAACCCAUCUUUUAAAUAUUUAUAUUCUUCUAGUGUUGUAUGCCUAUGAGUCAUGGAAGACUACGGUUGCCAAAUAAUUGAAAUUGAGGAUCUUGCAAAGACCACCAUAUCAUAUAAUAUGUCACUCCAAUUCAAUAAGUGUUGUUUCUCCAACACUUAAAGCACCAUACAAGAAUCCAAAGAAAGAGAGCAAUGAAGAAAAGAGUAAUCAGAGAAGAUGUUGAAGGAUGGAUCCUGUUUGCACAGGCAUAGGGUCCCUCUUAGAGAGGGGAAGAACAUAUUAGAGACUAGUCUUGAUGGCAUGUUUGCAGGCCACUCAUGAGACUGGUUUGUCUAGAGGAAAUAAAGUUGGCCAAUUAGGACAAAAUUUUGGAGGUUCUUGAGAGCAAGAGAUUCAUGCACUUCCUACGUCAUGGCAUCUCAGUGACUUUGAUAGCUAAGACAUAGUUUUAAAAAGUUAGGCCAUCUCAUUUUGAUCCAGUCCUCUAGGAAGCACUGAAAUAUCAUUCCCCCUCUCAUCCCUCAUAAAGCACCUGUUUAUAACAAAUGGCCAACUUUCUUGCCAAUUUCUGCUGCAGCUGUUUAUUCUGGACAUGUGGAAGCUCAUGAUCAACUUAAUUUUAUGCAUGCCUCAACAGAAGCUGGGAGUUUUCAGAAUGCAUUUAAACAUCUCUUUAUUAUUUUGGAUCCUUUGGCGUUUAGACAACAGGGUCUCAGGGCUAUAUCUUUAACAACCGAACUAGGUCACUGGCCAUAAUAUUAUGAAUUAUGGUACUAGUAGCUGGAAAUACGUGACUUUCUAGCACUAGCCAGUAGUUACAGUCAUUACAGAUAACAACAAUUGUGUGCCUUGAGUUGUUAUCAACAACCUGGGAGAAUGACCUUCAUUUUCUAAAUUGUCUCAAACUCUUCUAGUCCAAGUCCUUAUUUCACUUUCAUCACUAAGGUUGGCCCAGAGUCUUCUCCGGUGCAGACUUCUGCACACUGUGAUCUUCUCCUCCUUAUAACAUACCAGCAGAGAACUUUUACAGGUCAUCUGAAUGAUGCCAUUAGUGUGAACUUGUUGAAUAAAAGAGGGUGUUUGGUGACUGCUUAGCUUACCCUUCUGGCUAGCAUUUCAAGUUCUUAGCUAGAAUCACUUGAAGGAGCAUGUAAGGUUCCCUCCUCAGGGCUGCACGAGGGGACAGCCUGUGCAAAACCAAUCAGCCACCAUACGUCAAGCAGUGUUUGUAUAUGUUUCAGCGUAUCCAGGCAAAGUCUUUUAACUUUCCAUCCUACGGGCUGGAGCUGUACUUUCCUGAAUGGCAGCCAGGAAAAAUUUUGUAGAUUUGGCAGGAAGACUGUGGGAAGCCUGGUGCAAGACCAGCCUGAGAGCUGGAGCAGGCUCUUUCUACAAAGGACAGACCAUCGAAACACCUCCCUUUGUUUCACCCUACAAGGGAACAUAAAUGGAGCCCCAAGAUCACAAUCAGGACCUAUUGUAUAAACUUGGGGUUUCCAUGACUAGGUUGCAUUUUUUGGCACCAAACACCUUAUUAUUUUUCAACUGGAAAACUAAUUAGAAAGGAUUCUUUUUUUAUCUGGGUGUUAAUACUAUGGCCCUGGCCCAUUUUCUGGCCCUUGGCCACAUCGUUGUAGUCCCCAGGGCAAUGCCUGACAAAUUAAGAUAAAACCGUUACUUAAUGUUUUCCUACUAAGAG